RNAcentral lists this ribosomal RNA (129 nucleotides) under Triticum aestivum (bread wheat). RNAcentral describes it as "partial small subunit ribosomal RNA". The record is from RNAcentral. Lineage: Eukaryota; Viridiplantae; Streptophyta; Magnoliopsida; Poales; Poaceae.
AAAAUUUAUGAUAAAUGUAUAUGAUGCACUCAAUGUGUACGAGCUUGUCCAACAUAUGUAUUAGAAAUGAUACCCUGGGAUGGAUAUAAAGCCAAGCAAAUUGCUUCCGCCCGAGAACUGAAAUGCUAG